UGGAGUCGUCCUUGAAAUACCACCCUUGUAGUUUUGAUGUUCUAACGUUGGUCCCUGAAUCGGGAUUACGGACAGUGCCUGGUGGGUAGUUUGACUGGGGCGGUCUCCUCCCAAAGAGUAACGGAGGAGCACGAAGGUGGGCUAAACACGGUUGGACAUCGUGUGGUUAGUGCAAUGGCAUAAGCCCGCUUGACUGCGAGAAUGACAAUUCGAGCAGGUGCGAAAGCAGGUCAUAGUGAUCCGGUGGUUCUGAAUGGAAGGGCCAUCGCUCAACGGAUAAAAGGUACUCCGGGGAUAACAGGCUGAUACCGCCCAAGAGUUCAUAUCGACGGCGGUGUUUGGCACCUCGAUGUCGGCUCAUCACAUCCUGGGGCUGAAGUCGGUCCCAAGGGUAUGGCUGUUCGCCAUUUAAAGUGGUACGCGAGCUGGGUUUAGAACGUCGUGAGACAGUUCGGUCCCUAUCUGCCGUGGGCGUUGGAAAAUUGAAAGGGGCUGCUCCUAGUACGAGAGGACCGGAGUGGACGAACCUCUGGUGUUCGGGUUGUCAUGCCAAUGGCAUUGCCCGGUAGCUAAGUUCGGAAUCGAUAACCGCUGAAAGCAUCUAAGCGGGAAGCGAGCCUUGAGAUGAGUUUUCCCUGGCACUAUAAGUGUCCUAAAGGGUUGUCGUAGACUACGACGUUGAUAGGCAGGGUGUGUAAGUGCUGCGAGGCAUUGAGCUAACCUGUACUAAUUGCCCGUGAGGCUUAACCAU
Molecule: ribosomal RNA, 751 nt
Filed under: Vibrio splendidus
Lineage: Bacteria; Pseudomonadati; Pseudomonadota; Gammaproteobacteria; Vibrionales; Vibrionaceae
Also listed under: 3 other names
Description: partial 23S ribosomal RNA
Rfam family: Bacterial large subunit ribosomal RNA
Source: RNAcentral